RNAcentral lists this ribosomal RNA (253 nucleotides) under uncultured bacterium. RNAcentral's name for it is "partial 16S ribosomal RNA". It matches the Rfam family "Bacterial small subunit ribosomal RNA", at positions 524 to 776 of the family's 1533-position model. The record is from RNAcentral.
UACGGGGGGGGCGAGCGUUGUUCGGAAUUACUGGGCGUAAAGGGUGUGUAGGUGGCGCGCUAAGUCGGGUGUGAAAUUUCGGAGCUUAACUCCGAAACUGCAUUCGAUACUGGCGUGCUUGAGGACUGGAGAGGAGACUGGAAUUCAUGGUGUAGCAGUGAAAUGCGUAGAGAUCAUGAGGAAGACCAGUGGCGAAGGCGGGUCUCUGGACAGUUCCUGACACUGAGACACGAAGGCCAGGGGAGCAAACGGG